CCUAAGGCGAGGCAGAGAUGCGUAGCUGAUGGGAAGCGGGUUAAUAUUCCCGCACCGUCGUAGAGUGCGAUGGGGGGACGGAUUGCAGAAUGUUAUCGGGGUGUUGGAUGUCCCCGUUGGCGCAUCAUAGAAGGCACUUAGGCAAAUCCGGGUGCGUAAUUCAAGGGUGUGACUGGAUAGAGCUUCGGCUCUAAACUAACUGGAAGCAGUUCCAAGAAAAGCCUCUAAGCUUCAGCUCUACGAGACCGUACCGCAAACCGACAC
RNAcentral lists this ribosomal RNA (264 nucleotides) under Alcaligenes faecalis. RNAcentral's name for it is "23S ribosomal RNA". It matches the Rfam family "Bacterial large subunit ribosomal RNA", at positions 1390 to 1660 of the family's 2925-position model. Lineage: Bacteria; Pseudomonadati; Pseudomonadota; Betaproteobacteria; Burkholderiales; Alcaligenaceae. The record is from RNAcentral.